CACACUCAUCACCACCGUCGUGACGACGACAACAACGAACAACAUUAUCCACCACCUGGUCACAACAAUUUAUCUUCCUUCAACCAACCACCACCACCACCACAUCAUCAACAACCACCUUUCUACCCUAACCCAUCAUACCCACCACCACCACAACAACAACCACAUCAACCCGAAACUCAAGUCUUCCACACCGGGCACGUGUCCCGUAAUGACAAUUUCAACAAUUACCCUCAACAACCACAACCUCACCAAGAAACUCAAGUGUUCCACACUGGACACGUGUCCCAUGAAAACUUCAACAGUUACCCUCAACCACCACCACCUCAAUCUCAUCAUCAACAACCCAGCUACGGCGCUGCGUACCCACCUGCACCACCAUCCGUACCGGAUCACACCUCCGCCCCAUUCCCAAACGCAACUGUUCACCAUGUUUCUCAUGAAACCCAUAACCCUCAUUUUCCUUCUUCCAACG
RNAcentral lists this long non-coding RNA (475 nucleotides) under Medicago truncatula (barrel medic). RNAcentral's name for it is "long non-coding RNA (MTRU_LNC005392)". The record is from RNAcentral. Lineage: Eukaryota; Viridiplantae; Streptophyta; Magnoliopsida; Fabales; Fabaceae.